Molecule: ribosomal RNA, 851 nt
Filed under: uncultured bacterium
Lineage: Bacteria
Description: bacterial SSU rRNA
Rfam family: Bacterial small subunit ribosomal RNA
Source: RNAcentral
CAAGUCGCACGGGCGUAGCAAUACGUCAGUGGCGAACGGGUGAGUAAUGAAUCGCUAAUGUACCCCGGACUCCGGGAUAGCUGCCCGAAAGGGCAGGUAAUACCGGAUGACAUACUCGACAGGCAUCUGUUGAGUCUCAAAGGUCCGCCGGUCUGGGCGCAGGCGAUUUCGUAUCAGCUAGUUGGUGCGGGUAACGGCCCACCAAGGCGACGACGCGUAGCCGGACUGAGAGGUUGGCCGGCCACAUCGGGACUGAGACACUGCCCGGACUCCUACGGGGGGCUGCAGUAACGAAUCUUCCCCAAUGCACGAAAGUGUGAGGGAGCGACGCCGCGUGUGGGACGAAGUCCUUCGGGAUGUAAACCACUGUCAGGGGGUACCAAGUUCUGAGGACCCCCAGAGGAAGAGGCGGCUAACUCUGUGCCAGCAGCCGCGGUAAGACAGAGGCCUCGAGCGUUAGGCGGAAUCACUGGGCUUAAAGCGUGUGUAGGCGGACUUCUAAGUGUCUUGUGAAAUCCCACGGCUCAACCGUGGAACUGCUGGGCAUACUGGAAGUCUUGGGCCAUUCAGGGGCGACUGGAACAAGCGGUGGAGCGGUGAAAUGCGUAGAUAUCGCUUGGAACGCCGAAGGUGAAAACAGGUCGCUGGGGAUGUGCCGACGCUGAGACACGAAAGCCAGGGGAGCAAACGGGAUUAGAUACCCCGGUAGUCCUGGCCCUAAACGAUGUCCACUAGAUUAUGGCGCCUUUGACGGCGUCAUGGUCGAAGCAAAAGUGUUAAGUGGACCGCCUGGGAAGUACGGUCGCAAGGCUAAAACUCAAAGGAAUUGACGGGGGCUCACACAAGCGGUG